GACGAACGCUGGCGGCGUGCUUAACACAUGCAAGUCGAACGCUGAAGCUUGGUGCUUGCACUGGGUGGAUGAGUGGCGAACGGGUGAGUAAUACGUGAGUAACCUGCCCUUGACUCUGGGAUAAGCCUGGGAAACUGGGUCUAAUACUGGAUACGACAUGCCACUGCAUGGUGGUGUGUGGAAAGGGUUUUACUGGUUUUGGAUGGGCUCACGGCCUAUCAGCUUGUUGGUGGGGUAAUGGCCUACCAAGGCGACGACGGGUAGCCGGCCUGAGAGGGUGACCAGCCACACUGGGACUGAGACACGGCCCAGACUCCUACGGGAGGCAGCAGUGGGAAAUAUUGCACAAUGGGCGGAAGCCUGAUGCAGCGACGCCGCGUGCGGGAUGACGGCCUUCGGGUUGUAAACCUCUUUCAGCACGGAAGAAGCGAGAGUGACGGUACGUGCAGAAGAAGCGCCGGCUAACUACGUG
Molecule: ribosomal RNA, 472 nt
Filed under: uncultured bacterium
Lineage: Bacteria
Description: partial 16S ribosomal RNA
Rfam family: Bacterial small subunit ribosomal RNA
Source: RNAcentral